RNAcentral lists this ribosomal RNA (253 nucleotides) under uncultured bacterium. RNAcentral describes it as "partial 16S ribosomal RNA". It matches the Rfam family "Bacterial small subunit ribosomal RNA", at positions 524 to 776 of the family's 1533-position model. The record is from RNAcentral.
UACGGGGGGGGCAAGCGUUGUUCGGAAUUACUGGGCGUAAAGGGCUCGUAGGCGGCCAACUAAGUCGGACGUGAAAUCCCCAGGCUCAACCUGGGAACUGCGUCUGAUACUGGAUGGCUUGAAUCCGGGAGAGGGAUGCAGAAUUCCAGGUGUAGCGGUGAAAUGCGUAGAUAUCUGGAGGAAUACCGGUGGCGAAGGCGGCAUCCUGGACCGGUAUUGACGCUGAGGCGCGAAAGCCAGGGGAGCAAACGGG